This 440-nucleotide ribosomal RNA is filed under the name uncultured bacterium. RNAcentral's name for it is "bacterial SSU rRNA". It matches the Rfam family "Bacterial small subunit ribosomal RNA", at positions 360 to 793 of the family's 1533-position model. The record is from RNAcentral.
AAUAUUGCACAAUGGGCGCAAGCCUGAUGCAGCCAUGCCGCGUGUAUGAAGAAGGCCUUCGGGUUGUAAAGUACUUUCAGCAGUGAGGAAGGUGGAUAUGUUAAUAGCAUAUUCAUUUGACGUUAGCUGCAGAAGAAGCACCGGCUAACUCCGUGCCAGCAGCCGCGGUAAUACGGAGGGUGCGAGCGUUAAUCGGAAUUACUGGGCGUAAAGCGCAUGCAGGUGGUUUGUUAAGUCAGAUGUGAAAGCCCGGGGCUCAACCUCGGAAUUGCAUUUGAAACUGGCAAACUAGAGUACUGUAGAGGGGGUAGAAUUUCAGGUGUAGCGGUGAAAUGCGUAGAGAUCUGAAGGAAUACCGGUGGCGAAGGCGGCCCCCUGGACAGAUACUGACACUCAGAUGCGAAAGCGUGGGGAGCAAACAGGAUUAGAUACCCUGGUAG